RNAcentral lists this long non-coding RNA (3816 nucleotides) under Sus scrofa (pig). Its description in RNAcentral is "lncRNA (ENSSSCG00065002602.1)". Lineage: Eukaryota; Metazoa; Chordata; Mammalia; Artiodactyla; Suidae. The record is from RNAcentral.
UUUUUUUUUUUUUUAUCUACUGACAAGUUGCUCUAGUAACCCAAAGAAAUGAAAGAGAAAGCAGCUGCCUCGCCACCCAGAUAUGGACUUGUUCAGAUGUUUCAAUGCUUCAUGAUGCAAUAAAACCACGAAAAUUUUCUUCAAAAUAGAAAAGCAUAAGAGGUGAUUGAUGGAUAUGUUAAUUAACUUAAUUGUGGUAAUCAUUUCACAAUAUAUAAUUACAUCAAAUCAUGUUGAGUGCUUUAAAUAUAUAUUUAAAUAUAUAUAUCUAUAUAUAUCAUAUAUAUAUAAAAGACACACUUUUAUAUAUAUAUAAAGAUAUAUAUAUAUCUUUGUCAAUGAUACACGAAUAUAGCUGAGAAAAAUAAAUUUUUAAAAACUAUCCUCCAUGAAAAAAUAAACAAAAGACAAAAGAUGCCACUUUUUGAGAGGGCGCAGAGAUGAAGACUUUACAACUACAUACACAUGAACUUGCUGGAGGAGUUCCCACUGUGGUGUGAUGGGAUCAGCAGUGUGUCCAGAGCACUAGGACACAGGUUCGUUCCCUGGCCCCGUUAAGGAUUUGGCAUUACCACAGCUGUGGCAUUGAUCCCUGGCCCAGGAACUCCACCUGCCAUGGGGUGGCCAAAAAAAAUUAAAAUAAAAUAAAAAUAAAUUGUAAAUAUAAAUAAAUAAAUAAAAUAAAUAAAUACUAUAGCUAGAAAGUCAUCUGGGAACCAAAUCAGGCCCCCCGUCACUAUCACACCAGUGUCAUUUUGAAAGUCCCUACCUCACAUUCUCAGAUAGGUGACUUACACAAAAUCGGUACUCACUCAAUGUUUUUUUUAAUAUCAUCAUCAAGUCCAAACUUCUCAAAUUGUACACUUAACAACUGGACAUGUCUUUCAUGGCAUGUCAAUAGUGCCUCAAUACGUCUGUUUUUAAAAAAGAGGUUCAAUUACUCAACGUCUCAUUGUUUGGAAAAAAACAUAUUUAAUAAAUCAAACACCCCUAGUACAUAAUAAAAACAACCAUCAUGUUUGCUCCCCAUAAAGAGCCCUGGUAAGGAACAUGAAUGGGGAGAGAGGCCUGUACCCACACCAAAGGGGCAGGAAAAACAGAUGCAUGCUAAUAACCCAAGACAGGAUGUAAUAAGUGCCAAGUGAGUACUCCCAACAGCACAGGCUGCAGGAGUAGUGACUGCCGACUGUAUUCGCUUAGGGGGAAACCCACCAUUUCACCAUUUUAAAUACAGACUCUGCAUUCCUCUCACAGUCCCGGCAUUUGGAUUCCCAGAGCGUCACCCAUUCCUGACCACGCAUGUGGGCCUGGCCGUUGUGUCACCAAGCAACAACCCUCGCUUCUGGUACUCCUGGUCUCACCCCCAGGCCAAGAAAGGGAAAACCAGCACAACUAGACAAACUUUAGAAUCGAAUAACACAGAUGAAAUUGCCCACAGAGUUCAAUGGGGCGUUAACCACAGGGAUAGACACUAAAACCCAAACAGAUCUGAUUGGCCUCAAUUAGAUGCAUAAAUUCCUACCUGGGCACUCUGAGAAUGUCAUGGCUUGGUUUAUGGAUAAAUAUAAUGGGACCAAUUUCUAAAUGGCAAUUUAAAAUACCACCUGGCUAAAGCCUAGAAUAACUACAUUGCCCUAGAUCCUCCAUCACGAUUACAUGAGACAAAUGAAAAGUGCUUAGAGUAAGAACGGAGGAAAGCGCUAUGUUUUUAAAAAGGACAUUUCAUGGGUUGUCAUACCUACGUUCCUGGAAGUUUACAAUGUCUAAGGUCUAACACAGGGGCUGGAGCACAGCAGUAGUCAACAGACGUCUGUUGAGUGGAAGAACAAAUAUGAUGUAUAAGAAUAUCAGAGUGUCUUGGGCAAAGCUCUGUUUUAUGUGUAUUUGAUUUUUGUCAUAAGCAACUUGGGACAGCGUUUCUUAUGGAGUUUCACCAGUCGAAAUGUGUAAGGCUGUUGGAAAGUCUCUAUGCUAUGGCCAUGUGUUCAAAGGUUUUUCUCCUCUCCGGAAAAUGAUUCAACAGCAAGAUGCCUUGGCCAUGUGUGUGUGUACAUAUCUGACGGUGUGUGAGCUCCGGUUCAGGGGCAGAAGUGGGCGUGCUUUAUCAGACUGUCUUUAUUUUACUUUCCCAGUUUGGCUCUCCAUGUCCUGAGCAUGUAAACAGCCCGACUUCAGCAUUUAACCCUGGGCACUGUAAACUAUCCGUCUAUAGCACAGGUUUGAGCCUAAAGGACCAGGGGGAGCAUCCCUCCCGUAUAUUAGCUCAUAUUUGGGAUAUCAGGAGCACGAUCCUUUUUUUCCAUUCUCCCUCCCAGGAGGGGGAGAGAGGGGCCCAUUCUAUCAGCCUGAACACACCAGAAUCUCCUCACUUGGAAAGAACAAAUCUUGCAGCGAGACUUCCUGCAAUGCCUGGCCCUCACCAUUCAGACUCCACCAACUGGCUGCAGCCUCUGGAGACUUAGAGCCCCACUACCAACCAAGCCCUCAUUUUUUGUCUAGUGACUUUUAUUGUUUCUGGAACAGCCAGCACCAAGUCUGUGAACACCAGGUUCAAACCUGUACCCUCACCCUUCAUCCCAACCCGCACCUGUUAAUCUCUGAUUCCAUCUCUGUGCCUCUCUCUCUCAAUAGUUAUCAGAAUCUCUCUCCAAAUCCUCUCUUCACAUGGAGAGAUGUUAAACCUCUUCAACAUCUAAGAGCACAGAAGGAAAGUGUGGGAAAUAGACAGAGCCUGGAUCUGGAAAAAAGACUUCUCAUGACCUUUGCCCUUUAAGGACUUCACCUUCAUGUUGCAUGGUCACCAGGUCAGAGCUGGAAAGGCUGAGCUGAGCCAGCCUCUCUGUCCCAGCUGGCAGGAACCCAGUUGAAGGAAGGCAGAGUGCCUACAUAAGUCAAUCAACAAACCCAUAGCAAGGGCUCAUGUAUACCCACAGGCCCCAGGCUUCCUGUUCUUGGUGGUCACCUGCUCCCUGACCCCUUCCUCUUCUAAGUAUUCCAUGUCUGUCCCAAUCCACCCCAUCUUUCAACCUAGUUCCACUUCUCCAAGAAAGACCUCCCUGACUGUUACAGCCCGUAUACCAUGAGCUUGACCCUCUUAGAUCUACAGGGCUUCCUGUCUGCAUCACAUACUUCGCACUGAUUACAAAUGGACUUAGAUUUUAAUAUAUGUGCACUUUCCCCCCAAAAUGGAUUGCAAAUACCGAGGGCAGAGUUUUCCCUAGCAAAACUACCUUUUGCAUAUUAGACAUGCUAUUUAAAAAAAUAUGAAUUAAUGUGGAAUAAAGAUGAGGUAGGGGCCUGUGCAAAUACUGUGUUUUUCCUUUGGACCUAAUGUGUACGCCUGUAGUUGAGUGUUUACAGCAAGAGAUUGUCUAUGGCAGUCCAGGCACAGAUGCUAUUGUAGUCAUGUUGCCAUUUGCUGCUUGCAUAUUUAUGAAAAAUUAUCCUUUCAGGAUGAAAUUUUCCAUGACUGGCUUCUGACCCAAAAUCAGGGUGUUUCUCUCUCUCUCUCUUUUUUUUUUUUCUUUUGGAAAAUUUGAACAAUAUCCAGUCAGCCAUGUAGAAGUUGGGCAUUAGUGAAAAAAAAACAAGGACAUGUUUUGUCUUUCAAAAUCGAUGUAAGCCUUUCUUUUGCGUGACCAAUUAAAGAACAACUAAACUUCAAAAUGAGAAACUUUCCACUUGUCUUAGGCCUCAUCAAGGAUGAACCUUGAUGAUAAUGAGAUAAUGGAAUGAGAAUAAAGCAGAAACAGUUGAAAUUUGUCUCUCUUCAUUUUACUUGCACUAAGUUUCACAAAUGCCCACAGAUGCAUGACU